AAUUUAAUUGCGCACGCUUUGACCGUUGGGAUUUGCGAGAUGAUGUUCUUGGAGAGAGAAAAAGGAAUCGCAUGAAGAUAGUCCAAAUGGAGGCUUGAAUCCCUUUUACGUUUCUGUGACGUUUGGGAACUCUAUCGGAGCAGUCGGAGGAGAAACUGGAAGAAUCUUAGGGAACCACUCGAGAUGCUGUUAUCGCUGUCAGAAGACACGUGAGUCCGCUUAGAGAUGAAUAGGUGGAUGACUAUGAAGAACCUCAUGCUAGAGGACACGGGAACACCAUGCUCUGAUAGGAUGUGACAUUAGGAUAUAGGUUCUAUAUUAAUUGUAUGAGACUUAUAUGACUUUCUUUGAGUCGAGACGACUUUAUUAUUUAGUUGGACGAGUUUGAAUAUGAUGUAGAAGAAAGUGAAUGUGAGCCUUUUUACCCAUUUGAAAA
This is a long non-coding RNA of Glycine soja, 436 nucleotides long. RefSeq lists it as uncharacterized. NCBI's taxonomy places the organism in Eukaryota, Viridiplantae, Streptophyta, Magnoliopsida, Fabales, Fabaceae. The transcript has 2 exons. The record is from RefSeq and is a predicted model, not a curated record.